RNAcentral lists this ribosomal RNA (439 nucleotides) under uncultured bacterium. Its description in RNAcentral is "partial 16S ribosomal RNA". It matches the Rfam family "Bacterial small subunit ribosomal RNA", at positions 339 to 795 of the family's 1533-position model. The record is from RNAcentral.
CUACGGGGGGCUCCAGUGGGGAAUUUUGCGCAAUGGGGGAAACCCUGACGCAGCAAUACCGCGUGAGUGAAGAAGGCCUUUGGGUCGUAAAGCUCUUUUCUUGGGGAAGAUAGUGACGGUACCCAAGGAAUAAGCACCGGCUAACUCCGUGCCAGCAGCCGCGGUAAUACGGAGGGUGCAAGCGUUGUUCGGACUUACUGGGCGUAAAGGGCACGUAGGCGGCACAGCAAGUUAAGGGUGAAAUCCCGGGGCUCAACUCCGGAACUGCUCUUAAAACUGCUGAGCUAGAGAUAGUCAGAGGCGGGUGGAAUUCCAGGUGUAGAGGUGAAAUUCGUAGAUAUCUGGAGGAACACCGGUGGCGAAGGCGGCCCGCUGGGGCUAUUCUGACGCUAAGGUGCGAAAGCGUGGGGAGCAAACGGGAUUAGAUACCCUUGUAGUC